Molecule: ribosomal RNA, 251 nt
Filed under: uncultured prokaryote
Description: partial 16S ribosomal RNA
Rfam family: Bacterial small subunit ribosomal RNA
Source: RNAcentral
ACGUAGGAGGCAAGCGUUAUCCGGAGUUACUGGGCGUAAAGGGCGUGCAGGCGGUUGGCUAAGUUCGUUGUGAAAUCCCCGGGCUUAACCUGGGAAUGGCGUUUUGAACUGGCAGUCUAGAGUGCGUCAGAGGGGGGUGGAAUUCCACGUGUAGCAGUGAAAUGCGUAGAGAUGUGGAGGAACACCGAUGGCGAAGGCAGCCCCCUGGGAUGACACUGACGCUCAUGUACGAAAGCGUGGGUAGCAAACAG